GUCAACGGCCAUACUACGUUGUCAAUACCAGGUCUCGUCCGAUCCCUGAAGUUAAGCAACGUCGGCCAAAGUCAGUACCACUUGGGAACACUCGGUGUCGUAAACA
This 106-nucleotide ribosomal RNA is filed under the name Leptotrombidium deliense. Lineage: Eukaryota; Metazoa; Arthropoda; Arachnida; Trombidiformes; Trombiculidae. The record is from RNAcentral.